Molecule: non-coding RNA, 112 nt
Organism: Punica granatum (pomegranate)
Lineage: Eukaryota; Viridiplantae; Streptophyta; Magnoliopsida; Myrtales; Lythraceae
Source: Rfam
GUCCUUGAUGAGGUCCACCUAAUUGAGGCAUAGACCGCCCCAUGUCCCUGUUCGCAGGGAGAACCUACUUGGGGUCCUAUGUUGUAAUGAAAUCACUGGAUACGCCUGAGAC